UUGCUCUUCAACGAGGAAUGCCUAGUAGGCACAAGUCAUCAGCUUGUGCCGAUUACGUCCCUGCCCUUUGUACACACCGCCCGUCGCUACUACCGAUUGAAUGGCUCAGUGAGGCCUUCGGACUGGCCCAGGGAGGUUGGAAACGACCGCCCAGGGCCGGAAAGUUGGUCAAACUCGGUCAUUUAGAGGAAGUAAAAGUCGUAACAAGGUUUCCGUAGGUGAACCUGCGGAAGGAUCAUUAACGCGCAGGCCGCAGACGGCCCGCCCCCGGGUGCGUCCGAGGGCGGUGCCGCCGGCCACACGCCCAUUCUUGUCUAUCUACCUGGUUGCCUCGGCGGGCCGCGCACUCGUGCCGCCCGGGGAUGUUUAUCUCCCUGGACCGCGCCCGCCGGAGGAGCGAUUAAAAUCCAUGAAUACUGUUCAGUCUGAGCGUAAGCAAGUGAAAUCAGUUAAAACUUUCAACAACGGAUCUCUUGGUUCCGGCAUCGAUGAAGAACGCAGCGAAAUGCGAUAAGUAAUGUGAAUUGCAGAAUUCCGUGAAUCAUCGAAUCUUUGAACGCACAUUGCGCCCUCUGGUAUUCCGGGGGGCAUGCCUGUUCGAGCGUCAUUUCAACCCCUCAAGCCCGGCUUGUGUGAUGGACGACCGUCUCGCCCUCCCCGAUCCCGGGGAGGGGGACGCGUCCGAAAAGCAGUGGCCAGGCCGCGAUUCCGGCUCCUGGGCGAAUGGGCAACAAACCUACGCCUCUAGGACCGGCCGGCUCUCUGGCCUAGUUUCCGUUAGGGAUGAACUUCCCUACAAUUCAGGUUGACCUCGGAUCAGGUAGGGAUACCCGCUGAACUUAAGCAUAUCAAUAAGCGGAGGA
This 863-nucleotide ribosomal RNA is filed under the name uncultured fungus. RNAcentral's name for it is "eukaryotic LSU rRNA". The stretch from base 1 to 241 matches the Rfam family "Eukaryotic small subunit ribosomal RNA", at positions 1593 to 1831 of the family's 1831-position model. The record is from RNAcentral. Lineage: Eukaryota; Fungi.